GCCAGGCGCAGUGGUGCAUGCCUGUAGUCCCAGCUACUCGGGAGGCUGAGGUGGGAGGAUUGCUUGAGCCCAGGAGUUCUAGGCUGUAGUACGCUAUGCCAAUCAGGUGUCCGCACUGUUUGGCAUCAAUAUGGUGACCUCCUGGGAGCGGGGGACUACCAGGUUGCCUAAGGAGGGGUGAACUGGCCCAGGUCAGAAACGGAGCAGGUCAAAACUCCCAUGCUGAUCGGUAGUGGGAUCGCGCCUGUGAAUAGCCACUGCACUCCAGCCUGGGCAACAUAGCAAGACCCUGUCUCA
Molecule: signal recognition particle RNA, 297 nt
Filed under: Cebus imitator (Panamanian white-faced capuchin)
Lineage: Eukaryota; Metazoa; Chordata; Mammalia; Primates; Cebidae
Description: Metazoan signal recognition particle RNA (ENSCCAG00000014753.1)
Rfam family: Metazoan signal recognition particle RNA
About the family: The signal recognition particle (SRP) is a universally conserved ribonucleoprotein. It is involved in the co-translational targeting of proteins to membranes. The eukaryotic SRP consists of a 300-nucleotide 7S RNA and six proteins: SRPs 72, 68, 54, 19, 14, and 9.
Source: RNAcentral